Jaculus jaculus (lesser Egyptian jerboa) is the source of this 133-nucleotide small nucleolar RNA. Its record names the gene SNORA70. It matches the Rfam family "Small nucleolar RNA SNORA70". From Rfam's summary of the family: snoRNA U70 seems to be exclusive to mammals and is a member of the H/ACA class of snoRNA which contain H (ANANNA) and ACA box motifs. H/ACA box snoRNAs are involved in the conversion of uridines to pseudouridines (5-ribosyluracil) a constituent of structural RNAs (transfer, ribosomal, small nuclear, and small nucleolar). Lineage: Eukaryota; Metazoa; Chordata; Mammalia; Rodentia; Dipodidae. The record is from Ensembl.
CUGCAGUCAGCCACACUGACCAAGCUCCUUUUCUCAAGGCGGCCCAGUGUGCAGUAGCUGGCAACAGUGGCCUCCUUGGUAGGGCACACAGCCUGCUGCUGGUGUUGGGUUGCCUGGGGACCCUAAGACAGCU